This 1325-nucleotide long non-coding RNA is filed under the name Homo sapiens (human). RNAcentral describes it as "HSALNT0250959". The record is from RNAcentral. Lineage: Eukaryota; Metazoa; Chordata; Mammalia; Primates; Hominidae.
GCCCCCGGUUCUGUCUGGCCCUGCCUUACCCACCCAUCCUCAUCCCACCCCAGCCUCUGCAGCCUAACAACCCCAUGACAAAUUAUCCCAUGGCGAAGUUAAAUUGGCUGCUGCAUCCAAUACCGUGGAUUAUAGAGAAAGGAAAAUACAUAGCUCAUUAACUCAAAUCCCAGCCCCUCCCCCAGGCCUUGUUUUUUCUUCAUCCCUCCUCUACUUAUCUCUGGAGAAGAGACCUGGCCACAGGACUGCCUCCUCUUCCUUCUAACGACUUCUUGGGAGAGGGAGGAACUUGAAGGUAGGGGACAUGGGCUUUCAGGACGCCAGGACCAGGCGGACUGCAGAGGAACUCCUGGGCCUUGGCUCGUGGGGAGGACAGAUCUGUGAUCCUGGAGGCCAGAGGGUUCCCUCUGACAUCUGUGACACCGUUAGACUUUUCCCAAGCGUGUGUCCCCGGAUCCUUCUAAUACCGCUGCGACGGAAGCAGGAUGGAUGGGGAAACUGAGACCCGCGAGAGAGGUCACCAGGAAUCAGGUUGUGACGAGUGGCCACACCUGCAGGGAAUUUGAGAUGGGCCUCCAAGGGAACCUUUUAGCUGUAAGGCCUGUUCCUCCUGGCCUUUGUUCCUGUCAGCAGGCAGAGAAUAGAGAAGAAACUCAGAGAUCCUUGAGACUAAGAAGCUGAACAGAGCCUGGCUGCCUGUUUAAAAUGGAGAGGAAGAAAACAGCAAGAGAGAACCCCAGCAUUUGGAUUGCAGUCUUCACCUCUUGCCUCAUGGGGAUCCACAUGGUGAAUGUAAACACAGUGCUGAGGCUUGUGUGGAGUCUUGAGUCCAUGACGCUGGAGACCCCAGGGUAGAAGGUAGACCACCAGAGCUCUCAUGCAUGGGAGUGGCUCAUAGCCAUCACCUUUGAAAUCUAUUGUCUCGAGACAUUGGCGAGCCUGGGCCUCAAGAGUCUUCUGGAGACACCUUCCUGCACUUAACACUGAUGUCACUGACGGGGGAGCUCUGGAAGAGUGCCAUGAACUUUCAAGGGUGAGCAAACAGAAUUGCCAGUGCUCAGCCUCAGAGAGGAAGGUGGAAUCAAGAAUGGCCAAAUGUUUGAGGAGAGCUGAUGUCAUAACGCAGGAGCAUCCAGAUGACGAGUGAGGGAAUUAGCUCUGAGAAGACAGAGGGAACAGCACAAGUAGAAAGGACUUUAAGGUAAGAAAAAUUAAUGUCCUCUAAAAGACGUGAAAGCAUACAUAUAUCAUUGUAUGGAUCCAUACAAUAAGAAUUAGUGGCUGGGUGUGGUGGCUCACACCUGUAAUUGCAGCACUUUGGGAGG